RNAcentral lists this unclassified non-coding RNA (5429 nucleotides) under Hevea brasiliensis (rubber tree). Lineage: Eukaryota; Viridiplantae; Streptophyta; Magnoliopsida; Malpighiales; Euphorbiaceae. The record is from RNAcentral.
UCUCUCUCUCUCUCUCUCAUGCACUGACUCUCUCCGACCGACAAACGCGUUAAAGAGUGUAGAUUACACCCUAAAUUUUCAAACUCCUUGCUCUAUCUUCCCUCUCUCCUGGUUUCUCUGCUUCUCCGAUCCAGAUAGCGUGCUGUAACAAAACCCUAGCUUAUUAAGUUUCAUAGAAAUUGUCUCAUUCGAUCCCAUUCGGAACUCUCCGAUGUCAAGAAUUUGAUAAUCGUUUUCGAUAUUCAAGUUUUUUUAUUAUUAUGUUUUACGAGUGGGCUGCGAGAUUCGAGUUUUGAUGAAUAAAAGUUAGUGAUUCUUUGGACCUAUCUUUCAUUUUCAGCAUCAAUUUUGGUGACAAUGAUCGUGCUUUAUUUUGGCAAUUUUACGAAGAUAGUUUAAGGAUAUUGAUUCGAUAUUUUCUGGCUGGUUUUAUUGUCGAUUGCGCUGGAUCAGAGGAUGAACUUAGCUUGACAUCAGCUGGUAUUUGGCUUUUUUUCCCCCUUGAUUCGUGCCGUUUAUGAUUGAAUGCGUUUUAAAGGGUUGUAGCUGAGCAAUAAUUGAAGGAUUGCUUACCCUAAAACAGCCAAAUUUUAUCAGUUUGCUACGCGGGAUUAGAAUGAGUAACAGUGUUGUGCAGGGAUAAUUUUUGAAGGCGGUGAUAGGUGUGCUCGGUUUUAUUUGGAUGUUGUCAGGAUAUAUGGGUAUUGUUUAGCGGAUGCUGGAUUUUGUAUUUGAGUUAACGUGUGGUGACAAGUGGGUUCUGAAGUCAAAGGAACCAUACCGAUCAUAUUGUGUUUGGUUGUUAAAAUUAAUUUAGCAAAAUGAGUUUAGAAAAUGAAGAGCAACAUGGACUCAAUCAGCACGCUGAAGCAAGACGCGAAUCAGAAAAGAAGUUAAUUUCUUAUACAAGAGAUUUUCUACUAUCGUUGCGUGAAUUGGAUGUUUGCAAAAAUUUACCUAGUGGAUUCCACAAAUCGAUUCUUAGUGAGUUUGAGGAUACUCCACAGGAUAGAUUCAGAAUUUCUGGCAGCUUAUCAUUGCAAAAUUACAGACGCAAUGAACAUGGUUCAUCGCCUCCCACUAGAGGGGAUAUGAGCAAUUAUUCCAGGGGAAUUCAUGGAAGGUGGGAUAGUCCUUCCUCUGGAAGGAGUGAUCAUGACAGUGACUCACAAUCUGAUUGGGAUUCAGUGCAUUUUUCUGAUUUAGUAAUGUGUGUUGCGACUGGUUGAACGAUGCAUGCUAAUGCACAGAUUCUGGAAAGCGUUAUGGCAAUCAAUCUCAGCGAUCCUGGCAAGUUCCUGAACAUGAUGGACUCCUUGGAAGUGGUUCUUUCCCAAGACCAUCUGGAUAUGCUGCAGGGUCAUCGGCUCCAAAGUUUCGAGCUAAUGAUCACUACCAGCUCAAUAGGAGUAAUGAGCCAUAUCACCCACCUCGUCCUUAUAAGGCAGUACCUCACUCACGUAGGGACACUCAUGACUCUUACAAUGAUGAAACUUUUGGUUCUUCUGAGUGCACAAGCGAGGAUAGAGCAGAAGAGGAAAGAAAGAGAAGAGCUUCCUUUGAACUGAUGAGGAAGGAACAACAUAAAGCUUUUCAAGAAAAGCAGAAGUUGAAUCCAGAGAAGGGUAAGGAUGACUUCGAUAUUAGUGAGUUGAUGAAGGAUCCAAAAGAUGAUAAGAGACUUGUGAUUAGAAAAAAUGAAUCAGAUGAAGCGGUGACACAGCCUUCUUCAAUUACUGAUUCUGAUAAGUCUUCCUUUCCCUCACCAGCUCCUGUAUCUAGACCUCUUGUGCCUCCAGGGUUUUCAAGCACUAUAGUGGAGAAGAAUAUUGGAAUAAAAUCUUUGAUUCACCCUCAACCAUCAGAGGUAAUUAUCUUCUUCUUCCUUUUUUAUUUAUCUAUUUAUUUUUAUUUUUUUUUGCAUUCAAAAGUUGGCCUAGGGAUGCUAUUUGUUUCCAUGCUUUCUUCUGAAGAUAACUGAUAUGCUAUUUUAGGAUAAUUCCCAUGUGGGUGGCUUGAGUUUUAAGGUUUGUCUAAUGUCUAGACUUGCACCUGUAAGAUGUAACAUACACAUGUAAGUGAAUUCAUUUAUCACUGGCUGGGUUUCACAUCAUCAUCAAUUGAUGCUAUUGAAGAAAAAGCACAAUGAUGUGGCAUAGGUAUCUGGUCAUCUUUAAUAAAUGAUUUCCUCCUGCUAGCAGUCAGAACUGUUGAAAUCUCUAAUGUUUACUCUUUUGCUCCAUGACACUGGUUGAAGGCAUUGGCAUUGUAAAGAGUUGCCUUGAUUUCUUAUUUUCCCCCUUUUGUCUUUGGUUGUCCCAUGCUGUUGGCUUUUUUGGUGGUUUCACUUCUUGAUUCCAGUAUCAAUUUUAUUAUGCAGUUAAACUAUGGAACAAAACUUUAUCACUAUUCAAGUUGAACAAUAUUUUUUACAGUUUGACAAUCCAGUUUAGGUAAUCUACUAUUCAUUUCAACUAAGCCUCAGUCUAGUCUAAUUUGGGUUGGGUGUAUGGAUCCCUGCCUCCGUUCCACCAAAUGUAGGGCUGCAUUUGCUGAAAGAUCUACAGCUACUAAAUCUUUUUUCACUACAUCUUCAGUAUCCGGUGGAGCCAAUAUCAAGCAAUUUUAUUUGAAGUUGGCACUUAGGUUGGCCCUAAUUCUCUGAAUCGAAUGCCCUAAUUCUUUGGAUGUGUAUUGGGAAAAUGUUACGGAAAGCAAGUUUUCUUCUUAUUUUUGCCUUUGGCUACAGUGCUUGGGAAGGAGGAUGUUUCUAAUUAACGAAGGAUAAAAUUUUAUACCCUUGCUUCAUCUGUGUUCUAGUUUAUUUACCAAAUACUAUAUCUGUUGCUUUCCUAGUCAAUUAAAUAUGAUUGAAUCUUAUUCUGUCAGUACAUUCUUCUACUGAUUACAUCUAUAGAUUGGCAAUGAACACGAGAGUAGCCAUUUGCAUACCAAAGGAAACCAUUCACUUAGUGGGACAUCUAAUAAUGUAGAGGAGAAACAAUUUCUAGAACAGAUGGAUUCAAGAGAGCAGCAGCAUAGCGGUCCAAUUAUUCAUGUUGCAGUCAACCAAAGUGAAAAGAUUCUGAAUUUGUCAUCAGCGUUGGUUGUUUCAAGUGAAGCAGUCGGCAUGGAUAGUCAAUAUUACAAGACUUCUAAACUUUCGGCAGCUUUUGAGACUUCAGAGAACAGUGAAGUAAUAGAGCUUGAUGCUAAGGAUGUCACGGGGAGUAAAGUUGUGGGUGAAUCCAGUCCAAACCAUUCAACCUCGAUCCUUGACAAGCUCUUUGGCAGUGCACUGACACUAAAUGGUGUUGGUUCGUCUGGUUUCAUUGAGCAUCAGGAUGUUAAAGCAGGUGAGACAGGGAGCCCUUGCACGGCCCAGUCUUCCAAGUUUGCUCAAUGGUUUCUUGAAGAAGAGAAGAAACCAAUUGAUAAUAUCUCAUCUGGCAGGCCCAAUGAUUUGCUAUCAUUAAUUGUUGGUGGUGAAAAAAGUGGAUCCCAGACUUUUGAUGUUAAGGCUAUUGAGAAUAUUCCACCAAGUCUUCCUCUCCAAAGUCCUGGACUUGCAGAUGAGCACAUGACAUCCAAUUCAAUGCCUGUUGAAAAGAUUGAUAAGCUAGACACAGUUCCAGCUGUACUUACGUGUGAAGACCUUGAACAGUCAAUUCUGUCAGAAAUUACUGAAAAUGGCUCAAUGCUGCAGCCUCCUUUGCUGGGCUGGAGUGGUUCUGGACCAAAGACUGAACAUCAGAAAGCCGAUAUUGAUGAUCAUGCAUCACAGCACCUUCUUUCAUUGUUGCAGAAGGGUGCUGGUCUGUCAACUGAUUUUGAAAUCAUAUGUUCAGACGCGCAACAAAAUAUGGAAUCUGAGAAUCUUGGCGCUGUGCUCUCUAAUUCCAGAGAGAUACACACCGAGAACAUUCACAAUGCAGGCAAGCCUUUGACUCUUGAAAUGCUUUUUGGAACCGCUUUCAUGAAGGAAUUGCAGCCAGUAGGAACACCAAUUUCUGGCCCGAGGGGCUCAAUUGGAUCAAUGAGAGUUAAUCUUUCAGAGUCUCCUUUUCCUGUGAUGGAUGAUGAUCUCCUUGCUUCUACAGAUGAUACAACAUCUAGCAUAUCGACUCAUGGCACUGGCAUUCUAGCAUCAAAGCAGAGACAACAAAUUAAAUCAGAAAGUAAUGAAGAGAAAUUUUCAGGGUUUGAUUGUCAAAAGGAAGUGGAUUCAUCACAACACCGGACUGAAUUGGGAUCCAAGGUUGGUGGCUUUGAUGGGUCUGUUGAAAUUCGACUUCCUGAAGAAGAUAGCUUGAUUACAGUUAGUGAUCCUCUUAAUCUCCAGAACUUCAUGCCUGCCAGGAACUCAUCUAAAGCUGAGUUAUUAUCCACGUCAGAGACUGCGGUUGACAUUGCUGAAAAACUAGCAGCUUUAAAUUCUGUAUACCGGGAUGAAAGGCCUUUUAUAGGAGGCCAAGAUGGUGGAGCCUUUUUUCAUGGUCCUUAUGAUACGAGGGAACAUGAUGUUCAGUAUCCUAAGAUUCACGCCCAGCCAUCUUCUCCACAGCUUCAUCACCCUCAGUUGAAUCAUGCAGGGCCAAUGUUCCCUUCAUUAGAUUCUCAUGCUACCAAUAUUAAUGCUCAGAUGAAAUUCAUGGCCCUAGAGAACAUUCAUCAAGAUCCUCCUAAUCAUCAAUUUUCUGCAAAUUUACUACGUCCUCCAUUCCACCACCCCAGUGCUGCACUGAAUGGAUUAGGUCCUAACCCACAUAAUCCUAUGUUGCAGCAAAUGCAUAUGCCUGGCAAUUUUCCUUCACGCCACCUUCUACGUGGAUUUGCCAGGGGUGCACCUUUGCAUCCACAUCCCAACAAUCACGCCCCCGGUAUUAUACAGGAGCCAAACCCAAUGCAAGGUUUCCCUUUUGGUCAAAGGCAAACCAACUUUGGUGGCAUUGGAAUACCAACACAAGCUCCUGACGUUGGUGGUGGAACAUAUCAUCCGGAGGCUCUGCAAAGGCUCAUCGAGAUGGAACUCAGGUCAAAAUCUAAGCCCGUUCAUCCUUUUGCAAUGGCUGGCCAUAGUCAGGGGAUAUAUGGUCAUGAACUAGACAUGGGAUUUGGACAUAGUAAAUUUUAGUUACAGCUGUGGAUAUGAUGAUGUAUUUGUGAUCACAUGCGCAGGGCUACCCUGCAAAGGCAGUGGGUUUAUUGUGCUGCUUCAGGAGGUUCAUGUAGUUAAAUGGUAUUUUAAUUGAAAUUAGCAUUCGGUUGGUCUUCCCUUCCUUUUUAUUUUCCUCGUUUCUCUCUCUCAUCAAAGUUUACUGUGGUCGAACUAUACAGUCAAGUAGGGAGGUCUAUGAAGUGAUCUGGUACAGAAGUGCAAAUAUUUAAAUCCCCCACUCGGAAUUUUCGAUGCAGUAAGCUUUGGGGAA